GCCAUGCCGCGUGCAGUGAUGAAGCAUCUUCUGGUGUUGUAAACUGCUUUUAUACAGGAAAAAACACUCCCUCGUGAGGGAGCUUGACGGUACUGUACGAAUAAAGAUCGGCUAACUCCGUGCCAGCCCCCGCGGUAAUACGGAGGAUCCAAGCGUUAUCCGGAAUCAUUGGGUUUAAAGGGUCCGUAGGCGGCCCUGUAAGUCAGUGGUGAAAUCUCCCCGCUCAACGGGGAAACGGCCAUUGAUACUGCAGGGCUUGAAUUAUUGGGAAGUAACUAGAAUAUGUUGUGUAGCGGUGAAAUGCUUAGAUAUUACAUGGAAUACCGAUUGCGAAGGCAGGUUACUACCAAUGGAUUGACGCUGAUGGACGAAAGCGUGGGUAGCGAACAGGAUUAGAUACCCUGGUAGUCCACGCCGUAAACGAUGGAUACUAGCUGUUCGGCGCAAGCUGAGUGGCUAAGCGAAAGUGAUAAGUAUCCCACCUGGGGAGUACGUUCGCAAGAAUGAAACUCAAAGGAAUUGACGGGGGCCCGCACAAGCGGUGGAGCAUGUGGUUUAAUUCGAUGAUACGCGAGGAACCUUACCAGGGCUUAAAUGUAGUCUGACAGGACUGGAAACAGUU
This 622-nucleotide ribosomal RNA is filed under the name Flavobacterium sp. Ri2Ps_5170. Its description in RNAcentral is "bacterial SSU rRNA". It matches the Rfam family "Bacterial small subunit ribosomal RNA", at positions 391 to 1011 of the family's 1533-position model. The record is from RNAcentral. Lineage: Bacteria; Pseudomonadati; Bacteroidota; Flavobacteriia; Flavobacteriales; Flavobacteriaceae.